This 1347-nucleotide ribosomal RNA is filed under the name Domibacillus enclensis. RNAcentral's name for it is "bacterial LSU rRNA". It matches the Rfam family "Bacterial large subunit ribosomal RNA", at positions 1581 to 2925 of the family's 2925-position model. The record is from RNAcentral. Lineage: Bacteria; Bacillati; Bacillota; Bacilli; Caryophanales; Bacillaceae.
AGUACCGAAGUCUUCGAUUCCACACUGCCAAGAAAAGCCUCUAGCGAGAUGCAAGGUGCCCGUACCGCAAACCGACACAGGUAGGCGAGGAGAGAAUCCUAAGGUGAGCGAGUGAACUCUCGUUAAGGAACUCGGCAAAAUGACCCCGUAACUUCGGGAGAAGGGGUGCUCUGGUAGGGUGCAAGCCCGAGAGAGCCGCAGUGAAUAGGCCCAGGCGACUGUUUAGCAAAAACACAGGUCUCUGCAAAGCCGCAAGGCGACGUAUAGGGGCUGACGCCUGCCCGGUGCUGGAAGGUUAAGAGGAGGGCUCAGCCGCAAGGCGAAGGUCUGAAUUGAAGCCCCAGUAAACGGCGGCCGUAACUAUAACGGUCCUAAGGUAGCGAAAUUCCUUGUCGGGUAAGUUCCGACCCGCACGAAAGGCGCAACGAUCUGGGCACUGUCUCAACGAGAGACUCGGUGAAAUUAUAGUACCUGUGAAGAUGCAGGUUACCCGCGACAGGACGGAAAGACCCCGUGGAGCUUUACUGCAGCCUGAUAUUGAAUUUUGGCACAGUCUGCACAGGAUAGGCAGGAGCCUUGGAAGCCGGAGCGCCAGCUUCGGUGGAGGCGCUGGUGGGAUACUGCCCUGACUGUGUUGAAAUUCUAACCCGCACCCGUGAUCCGGGUGGGAGACAGUGUCAGGCGGGCAGUUUGACUGGGGCGGUCGCCUCCUAAAAUGUAACGGAGGCGCCCAAAGGUUCCCUCAGAAUGGUUGGAAAUCAUUCGCAGAGUGUAAAGGCACAAGGGAGCUUGACUGCGAGACCUACAAGUCGAGCAGGGACGAAAGUCGGGCUUAGUGAUCCGGUGGUUCCGCAUGGAAGGGCCAUCGCUCAACGGAUAAAAGCUACCCCGGGGAUAACAGGCUUAUCUCCCCCAAGAGUCCACAUCGACGGGGAGGUUUGGCACCUCGAUGUCGGCUCAUCGCAUCCUGGGGCUGUAGUCGGUCCCAAGGGUUGGGCUGUUCGCCCAUUAAAGCGGUACGCGAGCUGGGUUCAGAACGUCGUGAGACAGUUCGGUCCCUAUCCGUCGCGGGCGCAGGAAAUUUGAGAGGAGCUGUCCUUAGUACGAGAGGACCGGGAUGGACAUACCGCUGGUGUACCAGCUGUCUCGCCAGAGGCAUCGCUGGGUAGCUACGUAUGGACGGGAUAAGUGCUGAAAGCAUCUAAGCAUGAAGCCCCCCUCAAGAUGAGAUUUCCCAUUACGCAAGUAAGUAAGAUCCCUUGAAGAAGACGAGGUAGAUAGGUUCGGGGUGGAAGUGCGGCGACGCAUGGAGCUGACGAAUACUAAUCGAUCGAGGACUUAAUCAAU